UACGGAGGAUUCGAGCGUUAUCCGGAUUUAUUGGGUUUAAAGGGUGCGUAGGCGGAAUAAUAAGUCAGUGGUGAAAGCCCCAAGCUUAACUUGGGAACUGCCAUUGAUACUGUUGUUCUUGAGUACAUUUGAUGUGGGCGGAAUGUGUAGUGUAGCGGUGAAAUGCUUAGAUAUUACACAGAACACCAAUUGCGAAGGCAGCUCACAAAACUGUUACUGACGCUGAAGCACGAAAGCGUGGGGAUCAAACAGG
RNAcentral lists this ribosomal RNA (253 nucleotides) under uncultured bacterium. RNAcentral's name for it is "partial 16S ribosomal RNA". It matches the Rfam family "Bacterial small subunit ribosomal RNA", at positions 524 to 776 of the family's 1533-position model. The record is from RNAcentral.